GGGAAAGUUGCAAAGUACUUUGAAGAGAGAGUUAAACAGGGCGUGAAACCGCUAGCUGGUAAACGAGUAGAGCCACGAAGUCGUUUCGUAGAAUAAGAGAUACAGAUUCAGUUGAGGUUGGCGCAAGUUGGCCUUGGUGCAUUUCUGUUUAUCUCUCUAUGUAUGCGUACACUGCAACCAAUUAGACGAUCAAUUGUGGAAAUAGCUAGCCUACAUUGGGAGAAAUCUUAGCGUUAGUUAGCGAAAUGCCUAUAUACCUUCUGUAGGUUGUUCGAUUUGAUCCUCGUGGUCAUCUUGAGCGUAUGAUGGGAUGGUAUGAGAACUACAAUUGAAUACUGAUUGGCAAAAUGAAAAUCCAUUCGCAAGAAUGGUCCCAGAUAACACUACCUGUAUCGUAUGUGUGUACAAGUACUUAUUAUUAGCGUAAGCUUGGUAGUUUUAAAUUUAGACUGGUUAGGCUAUCUUUGGUUUCGGCCCUUGAUGCCUAUUCAGCUUUCUAUCUAAUUGGCUAUCAACUUUGCUACUAAUCUUGUGCUUGCCAAUGAUAGCAUGCAUGCGACAAUGGGCAAGUAAUCUUAUUGGCAGUGAGUAGGUCGGCUUUCUACACGACCC
RNAcentral lists this ribosomal RNA (612 nucleotides) under Trisetacus bagdasariani. RNAcentral's name for it is "partial large subunit ribosomal RNA". Lineage: Eukaryota; Metazoa; Arthropoda; Arachnida; Trombidiformes; Phytoptidae. The record is from RNAcentral.